GGGAGCCACAGGCAGGCAGAUCCACCGUGCCAAACCCCGAUGGGCCCCAUUCCCGUUCCCAUUCCCGGUCCUGCUCCACCAGGGCGCCCUGCGGGCCCCGCCCGCUGCCGCACCCGGAUGUGCCGACCUCCCCCCACCCCGGCACAGGCCGGCGCAUGCGCACCGGGGGCCGCCGCCGCCCCUCGCCCGCCUUGCGCCCCCCGCCCGCCCUGCCGGCGCUGCCAUGAUGUUCUGACACCAAAUACAGAGAACGGUAAUUUUCCCUACCAAGUACCCAACUUCCAUAAGUGUGAGAUUUGUUUGCUGUCUUUUCCAAGAGAAACCCAGUUCCAGCGCCAUAUGAGGGAUCAUGAGCAAAAUGACAAGCCUCACCGGUGUGACCAGUGUCCGAUGUCUUUUAAUGUUGAAUUCAACUUGACACUUCACAAAUGUACUCACAAUGGCGAAGAUCCUACGUGUCCUGUGUGCAACAAGAAAUUCUCCAGAGUAGCCAGUCUGAAAGCACAUAUAAUGCUACAUGAGAAAGAGGAGAAUCUUAUCUGUUCAGAGUGUGGCGAUGAAUUCACUCUACAGAGUCAGCUGUCCAUACACAUGGAAGAACAUCGUCAGGAAUUGGCAGGCAGUAGGAUUCACAGCUGCAAGUCUUGCAAAAAAGAAUUUGAAACUUCCUCGCAGCUAAAGGAGCAUAUGAAAACUCACUAUAAAAUAAGGGUAUCAAAUACCAGAUCUUACAACAGAAACAUUGAUAGAAGUGGGUUUACCUAUUCCUGUCCUCACUGUGGGAAGACGUUCCAGAAACCGAGUCAAUUAACACGGCACGUUAGAAUACACACAGGUGAGAGACCCUUCAAGUGCAGCGAGUGUGGGAAGGCGUUUAACCAGAAGGGGGCUCUGCAGACCCACAUGAUCAAGCACACGGGGGAGAAGCCCCACGCCUGUGCCUUUUGUCCCGCCGCCUUUUCCCAGAAAGGCAACCUGCAGUCGCACAUCCAGCGAGUUCACUCUGAGGUCAAGAAUGGCCCUACAUACAACUGUACAGAAUGUAGCUGUGUCUUCAAAAGCUUGGGUAGUUUAAAUACACAUAUCAGCAAGAUGCAUAUGGGUGGUCCACAGAAUUCUGCAAGUGCUUCAACAGAUGUAUCUCAUGUUGCAGCGGACUCUGUCACCCAGCCUUUAACGACAUCCCCUACUAAUCUUUUGCAACCUGUUGAUAACAAAUGGAAGAAUGCCACACAUUUUCGGUCUCCACUUCUUCAACAGACAGAAAACCAGGUGUCUACAGCUGCUGCUCAUCAGGGUCAGCAGACUGUCACUGAUGUCAUUCAGCAGCUCCUUGAGUUAUCAGAACCAGGUCCUGUAGAAAACAGCCAGCCUCAACAACCUGGUCAACAGCUCAACAUUGCAGUGGGGAUCAGUAGAGAUAUUUUGCAGCAAGCAUUAGAGAACAGCGGGUUGUCAUCAAUUCCUGUCUCUGCACAUUCUGCUGACUGCAGCCAGGCUAAGGCUGCUGGGGCCCAGGAUCAGAACCCAGAUGUCCCGAGUCUCUCAAAUCAUCAGGCUGAUUCUAACAGUGCCGAGCAAGACAAGGAGCAAGAGAGUACCGAUAAAAUAGAUAAAAAAGAAAAAAAGUUCAUUAAGAAAAAAUCACCGUUUUUGCCUGGUUCUAUACGUGAAGAAAAUGGGAUCAGAUGGCAUGUUUGUCCAUAUUGCUCUAAAGAAUUUAAAAAACCAAGCGAUUUAGUGCGCCACAUUCGCAUUCACACCCAUGAGAAGCCAUACAAGUGUCCCCAGUGCUUUCGCGCCUUUGCCGUGAAGAGCACUCUAACAGCACACAUAAAAACACACACUGGCAUUAAAGCUUUCAAGUGCCAAUUUUGUAUGAAAAGCUUUUCCACCUCAGGGAGUUUAAAAGUUCACAUUCGCCUGCACACAGGCGUUAGGCCUUUUGCUUGUCCUCACUGUGACAAGAAGUUUAGAACAUCAGGCCAUCGGAAGACUCAUAUCACUUCCCAUUUCAAACAUACGGAGCUAAGAAAGCUGCGACAUCAACGAAAACCCACAAAAGUUCGAGUGGGAAAGUCAAGUGGUCCAGUACCAGACAUCCCUUUGCAAGAGCCCAUACUCAUAACUGAUUUAGGUCUUAUCCAGCCAAUCCCGAGGAACAGCCAGGUCUUCCAAAACUAUUUUAACAGUAAUUUUGUGAAUAACGCAGAGAGACCAUACAAAUGCUACUAUUGCCAUCGAGCCUAUAAAAAAUCCUGUCAUCUUAAACAACACAUCAGGUCUCAUACAGGUGAAAAGCCAUUUAAGUGCUCUCAGUGUGGAAGAGGUUUUGUGUCAGCUGGAGUUCUCAAAGCACAUAUUAGAACACACACUGGAUUGAAAGCUUUCAAGUGCGUUGUGUGCAAUGGGGCCUUCACUACUGGCGGUAGCCUCCGGCGACACAUGGGGAUCCAUAAUGACCUUCGACCAUAUAUGUGUCCCUACUGUCAAAAAACAUUCAAAACAUCACUCAACUGUAAAAAACACAUGAAGACUCACAGAUAUGAACUUGCACAGCAACUUCAGCAGAAUCAGCAGUCUUCUUCAAUAGAUGAUUCUACAGUACAUCAGCAGAGCAUUCAUGUUUCUACACAAAUGCAGGUGGAGAUUCAAAGUGAUGAGCUACAGCAGUCAGAAACUGUUGCUACAGAUCAGCAGGCUAUUUUAGAGUUAGACCAGCAGCCAGUAGUAGGCACAGAAGAAACAGCACUAGAGCAAGAAUUGGCUGAUCAGCCUUUAGAGCAAGAUGAGGACAGAUUUGUGACAUCCCAGCAUGCUUUACAGGAAAACAUCACUCAGUUUGAACAACAGAGUAUAACACAGCAGUCAUUUGAUCAACAGAGCUUAUCACAAGGUUUUACUGUGAAUGACAGCUACAAUCAACAGACUCAAUUUCCAGCUGUACAACAGCUGCAGGAUUCAAGCACACUUGAGUCUCAGGCUCUUUCAACGAGUUAUCAUCCACCAGCCCUUCUUCAGGUUCCAAAUACAGACACUAUUAAUGUAACCACUCGCUUGAUGCAAGACCAAUCACCACAGGAAGAACUUGAAUUGCACACCCAACGGCCUCAUUUUCUUGAGGAUAAUGAAGAUCAAAGUAGGCGUUCAUAUAGAUGUGAAUAUUGCAACAAGGGUUUUAAGAAAUCCAGCCAUUUGAAGCAACAUGUACGAUCCCAUACUGGUGAGAAACCUUAUAAAUGCCAGCUCUGUGGCCGUGGGUUUGUUUCCUCGGGAGUUCUUAAGUCACAUGAGAAGACUCAUACAGGAGUUAAAGCAUUCAGCUGUAGCAUUUGCAAUACCUCCUUCACAACUAAUGGCAGCCUUACGAGGCACAUGGCAACUCACAUGAGCAUGAAGCCUUACAAGUGCCCAUUCUGUGAUGAAAGCUUUCGAACAACUGUUCACUGCAAAAAACAUAUGAAAAAACAUCAGGCAGUCUCCUCAGCUGUAGCAGCAGCUACAGAUACAGGAGGAGGAGUUGCAUGUGUUGAAGAUGAUGAUGAAAGCUCAGAAAGAACUUCCAGAAAAUCUCGUCCUGGUGUCAUAACUUUUACAGAAGAAGAGACGGCAGAACUGGCAAAGAUUAGGCCUCAAGAAAGUGCCACUGUUUCAGAAAAAGUUCUUGUCCAGUCGGCUGCAGAGAAAGACAGAAUUAGUGAGAUGAAAGAUAAGCAAGCAGAACUGGAAGCAGAGCCCAAAUAUGCCAACUGUUGCAGUUAUUGUCCCAAAAGCUUUAAAAAACCCAGUGAUUUAGUCAGGCAUGUUCGUAUCCAUACUGGAGAGAAGCCGUAUAAGUGUGAUGAGUGUGGGAAGAGUUUCACUGUAAAAUCCACUCUGGAUUGUCAUGUUAAAACACACACAGGCCAGAAGCUCUUCUGUUGUCACGUGUGCAGUAAUUCUUUCUCUACAAAAGGCAGUCUAAAAGUCCACAUGCGCCUGCACACGGGAGCAAAGCCCUUCAAAUGCCCACACUGUGAUCUGCGGUUUCGUACUUCAGGGCGCAGGAAAACCCACAUACAGUGUCACUAUAAACCGGAUGCAAAGAAAGUUAGGAAGCCUGUUGCCCGGACUUCAACUGAGGGAUUGCAACCAGUCAGUCUUCUUAAUUCAUCCUCAACAGACCCUAAUGUUUUCAUCAUGAAUAACUCUGUUUUGACGAGUCAGUUUGAUCAAAAUUUACUUCAACAAGGACUUGUGGGCCAGGCUAUCCUUCCUGCUUCAGUGUCAGCUGGAGGUGACUUAACUGUGUCCUUGACAGAUGGUAGCUUGGCCACUCUUGAAGGAAUACAGUUACAACUUGCUGCUAAUCUGGUUGGACAAAAUGUUCAGAUUUCUGGAAUAGAUGCCACUGGUAUUAACAACAUAACAUUACAGAUCGAUCCAAGUAUCCUACAGCAGACAUUGCAGCAGAGUAAUUUACUUACUCAGCAGCUGACUGGAGAUCCCACCAUGGCUCCACAGAAUCCCUCCCUCCAGGCAACAGAAAAUGCAGUGCCAGCUAAUGUGGUUAUUCAGCCCAUAUCAGGCUUGUCUUUGCAGCCCACAGUGACAUCAUCUGCUAACAUGACAAUAGGGUCCCUGUCUGAGCAGGAGUCUGUGCUGACAACCAGCGCUAAUGGUGCACAAGACAUUACUCAAGUCAUGACUUCACAGGGUAUGGUGUCAUCUACAAAUGGACAACAUGAGAUAAUGUUGACCAUAAAUAAUUCCAGUUUGAGUCAAGUUCUAGCUCAUGCUUCAGGUUCUACUACUGCAACCUCAUCAGGAAGUCCUCAAGAAAUCACUCUUACAAUAUCUGGCCAAGAUCUUAUUCAGCAUAAUUCUGGAAGCACUGAUCUGAACACUGGCUUAAGGCUGACAGCACCAACCAUCAGCAGUCAGACUACAGGUGCUACUUUAACUAUAAGCAAUGACCAGCUUCUUUCUCAGGGCCCUUCACUAAAUGCUCCAGAACUUAAUCCAACAGGGGGAGCAAACCUUCCUCCAGCAACACCGAUAUCUCAGUCUGCAGUUUCUGCACCGAAUUUGGUGAUGUCUUCAUCAGGAGUUGGAGGAGAUGGUAGUGUCACUUUGACUCUUGCUGACACUCAGGGAAUGUUGUCAGGUGGUCUUGAUGCAGUUACACUUAAUAUCACUUCACAGGGUCAGCAGUUCCCUGCUAUACUCACAGAUUCCAGUCUUGCUAGCCAAAGUGCAUCAGGAUCACAGCAAGUAAUACUGGUGAGCCAUACACCCCAUUCAGCACCUGCAAACUCUGAUGAAAUAACAUAUCAGGUGACAGAAGUUUCCCCUAAUGUGACUAAAAGCAGUCAAGCAGAAAAAGAAACUCGUGGGCACCAGUGUUUUGAGUGUAGCCAAACCUUUUAUUCCGUCACCAUGCUGACACACCACUGCAAGGAGGUUCAUGGCAAGGAGCGAAUACAUGUUUGCCACAUCUGCAAUAAGGCCUUUAAGAGGGCAACACAUCUCAAGGUAUUUGGAACACAUGCAAACCCAUCAGGGUGGACCUUCACUGAGUUCCCAGAAGCCUAGAGUGUUUAAGUGUGAUACUUGUGAAAAAGCUUUCGCUAAGCCAAGUCAGCUGGAGAGACACAGUCGCAUCCACACAGGGGAACGGCCAUUUCAGUGUACACUGUGUGAAAAAGCAUUUAACCAGAAGAGUGCUCUCAAAGUCCACAUGAAAAGGCACACAGGAGAGAGACCUUAUAAAUGUGACUACUGUGCCAUGGGAUUUACACAGAAAAGCAAUAUGAAACUGCACAUGAAACGGGCUCAUGGUUACACUGGUCCUGUACAAGAGCCUGCGAGUCACCAAGAACAAGAAGGGGAAGACAUUAGUCGUGCUCUGAAUUUGGAAGAAGUGGUACAAGAAUCUUCAAAUGAAUGGCAAAGUAUAGGCAAUGUUUUUCGAUAACACCUUGAAAUUUGAAAGUUAAAAAUACUUCUGGCACUCGAACUUUACAGUUAAAGCUUCAAGCAUUGAAGAUACUAACAAUAGGAUAAUAUAUUAUAGUUUUUUUAAUUAUUUACAAAAGUUACCUAAAAGAUGAAUUCUUUUUUUUAAGCUUGUAGAAGAAUAUUGGGAAAACUUCAUUUAAUCUGUGCUAAGUUGUCUGUGAAUCAAUGAACUCAGGUAAUAAUGUAUACAGUUUCACCUUGAAUUCACAGCCAGUAUAUCUAUUUAAAAAUAAACUGGAACUUUAUAUCAGAAUAGAAUUAUUCCCAUUUUUAAUGGAGAUGAAGAAUAACUUCACAGGAAAAUCAUGAAACUGUCAGUCAACUUUUUUUUAAUGUGUUUAAAGAAAUAAUUGAGAUUGAAAAUGAAAUGUUGCAGUUGAUGAUGCAUGCAGUAUAAAACAGUGGAGUUUUGCCUUUUUUUUCCUUACAAGGCACAGGAAAAGGCUGUAUUUCUUUUAAAAGCUUUCUUUUUUAGUGCAUUUUGAGAAUUUGUUGAAAAAAAUAAAAUACUGCAAGCUCAUGGCUUUUCUUGAGUUAAACUCUUGAGAGGGAGUAUGUUCAUUUUCAUUCCAACCACAGAGGCAGAUGGAUGUGAGUUUUAACAGUGUAAGUCCUGAGGUUUUGGAUUUGGCAAUAAUUACUUAAUAAGAAUCCAAAUGAGAAAAGGUUCCAGUAACAACCUCUGUUGUUGUUUGCUGUACUGGGUCAGCAGUUACAUAUCUCAGUAUCUGUGGAAAACAGCCAUAUACUGAAUCUGUGAGAUAAACAAGUACCAUUUUGUGGUAGCAGUGAGAAAAUUAGGUGCACACUAAGUCACCUAUACUAUACUAAUGUUCCCCAGUGCUGUAAACAGUUAUCAUUUUGAAUCUGUAAAUUCCUUAUUAUUUUCUUUGUGGAUUUUGGAAAUAUGUUACAUUUAUUUGUUGUUUAAGUCAUUGUUUCAGCAAAACUACCUAGCUGACUGGGUAUUGCUUUCAAAGGUGCCACUUUUUAAGUAUAUUGAUAGCAAAGAAACACUGGAGUAAAAGCAUAGUUGUCUUUUAGACAUUCCAAAGACAGAAGCUGUUUUCUUAUUUUUGCCUUGUUCGUUGGAAUUUUAUUUAUAUGUUACAUAUAUAUAGAUAUAUAUAUGUGUGCUUAUAUAUGUAUAUAUAUAUAUAUAUUUAAAGUCUACGAGCCUCUGUGUGGCCGAUCAGUAUAUUUUGUAAAUACUAAUCCCAGUUCCAAGGAGUUCAUCUGUUUGGUUGCCACAAGUACUUCUAGAUCAGUGGUGGAUAUGUUGUACUAUAAUACAGACCUGGACUUUAAUUUUCUUUCUAAAAGAUAAUUGUUCUCAGAUCCAAAAAGCUCUUUUCUGUAAAUAUUGUCUAUACUCUGUCUGUGAUACAAACUAGUUAUUUCAGAUUGCUGAAGCAAGAAAUCACUGUUGGUUUUGGUAGGGCAUCUCUUAAUUCUUUUGUCAACUGUUCAGCAUAUGUAUAUAAGUAAUAUAGUUGGUGACAUGAAAAUAACACUUUUGUUAUGUGGAAUAUUUAAUUGAAAAACAUACUAAAUAAUAUUACUUUUUUCCAAAUUCUGUUUUGUGUAUUUUUUAAGCAUAUGAUUCUGGAUUCCAGGAGAUUGGAAAAACUGUUUACUGUUUGAAUAUUAGAUGUGAAGAAUAAAGUCCUUCCAUCAGUGCCUUCCCUUCCAGGCAGCCUGUGAAUGUUUCAGCUGGUAAAGAAAGACAUUAUAUUUUACAGUUAUAUUUUACAGUCUGGCCUCAUGGCAUAGCAUGCUGUUUAUCUGUAAUAAUAUAGCAAAAUGUGCUGUGUUGUGUGUAGCAUGUAUGAAAUUCCCUGUUAUUUCAGUGAAUACUGGAUAAAUGCACAGAGGGCUUGGAACUAGGUGAUCUUUAAGGUCCCUUGCAACCCAGACCAUUUAAUGAGUCUGUGAUAUUUGGUACACAGAACCUAAAAGCUGAUCUCAUGGGUAAAAAGAUGGCAUUUUUAAAGAGUCACUUCUCAAAGGCAUAACCAAGUUAUGCCUUGAUUAGAGGCAGUGAGGCUGUUCAGCAAGCCUUGGAAGUGCUAACUGAACAGUGUGAGUUACAGAGUCAGCUGACAUUUUUCCUGAAGUUGGUUUGCUACUCUUCCAGUGCUUGGAAAGCCUGUCAGCUACAGGAAUAGACUUUAAAAGUUCCUUUUUAACAUUGUAUUUGAUUUGCUUCCCUGCACCCUCUUCAGCGGUGAACUUCAAGUGUCUUGACAGAGGUUUUUGUAGCCUUGGUAAGAUUGAGUUGUAGCCUUUCAGAGCAGUGUAUGUGUUGAUGUUCAGAACAAAUACAGACACGGUAACCAGUAUGUUGAUAUUUUCAAAAGCAGCCUUAAAGCAGAUGCAUUAUGUAAGGAAGCAGAAGAACUCUUCUUCUGAGGAGUGCUUGAUGUGUCACAUUGCAUAGUGGGUAAGUGGACAGCCCUUGUUCUUUCUGGUUUAAUGCAGUUGUAGGCUUGUGCUAGCCUUGGGGUUUUUGGCUUGUGUCUGGUAUCAAUUUCUUUUGGUUUGUGUCCAUUCCUUCAGAACAUUAAAUCACACACUCCUGGUAUUGGCUGUGCACUCUUGUUUCAGGAAUAAUCCUAUGCUUACAAAUCAAAUGGACAUUUAAACUGCUGGUUUUCAUCAAAACUACUAGUGUGUAACUAAAAGAAUAAAUUUCAGGCUAAGUUUUAAUCUCUUUUCAUAUUGGUAAAACAAUGCUUUCAAGUACUAUACCUAUUCCUCUAGAGGAAGUAAAUCAAAAAAGCCACUUUGACCCUCUGGCAAAGACGAUUGAGGGGAAAGAAGAGUGAUGAAGUCAAGGAAGAGAUUUUGGUUAAAUUCUGUUACUCUACAGUGUAGUAUAUUGAAAGAUGUAUUUCUCUGGGUUUUUUAUCUUAAAUAAUCUUUCACAUUUUUGAGGGCUGUUUGCACCACAAUUGUUCAUGAAGGGGGCUGGUUUUUAUUUCCUGUUCAUAGACAUUUUAUGCUUCUGGCCUGUAGCUGUCACUCAGUAGACACUGGCAUUCCAUAAUUCUUGUGUCCUAUUGUCAACCUUCUGGGCCAUGCAAUGUCACUAGAAGCCUGUGUGCAGGGUCCCCAGGUGUCAUUGUGUUAUUUUCUAGUAUGUGAACAUUAUUCAUAAACUCUGGAGGAUGGUGGGGAGGCAAUAAAUCAAACAGACCUAAAUAUAUAAAGAUAUAUAAAUAUGUAUAAAUAAAUAUGUAUAUCCUGUUCCUUUGUAAAAAACAAAACUGGCCCAAGUUUCAUUUCAAGUUGAUUACUUUAUUUCAAUAGUGACUAUUUUUAAAAGCUGUGUUCCUAUAAGAACAAUACGUGUUCAAAUUAAAUCAACUAUUACGUUGCAGAGUAUACAUCUGAAUGAAGCUACAAUAGAAAAAUACACAUAGCAACCAACAAAGGUAAUAGAUGUAAUAGUGUGUGUUUUCGGAAUAAUUUUGGCAGUUUUGUUUUCUCUAGUCUCUAUGUAUUUUCUAUCAUCUCAUCUUCCAUUGCUUCAUAUUAAUGGACACUGAUUUAAACCUACAAUAGAUUUAGAUGUGAAAUGUAAAUAACACAUAUUUAUUUAUAGGUAACUUCUACUAGGCACUUAUUAGGAAUGCUGUUUCAACCUAGGAAGCACUAACUGUAAUCUACAGUGCAUAGGCUAAAACUAAAAAAAAAUAAAAAUUAAUCAGACACUUAGAUGACAGGUUGAAGAAAGUGUAAGUUUAAGUAAUAAAACAGUGCAAUUCAGAAGAGCCUUUUAUUUCCCUAAGUGUGGUUGGAAAUACCAUCUCCACACACGUUCAUUUUAGUAAUUUGUGAACAAUUCAUAUCUAAAUCUAACUGAACUAUAAUUUAUUUCUACGAGGCAACUACAAUACAACAGUUAAAUGUUCACAGUAGUUUACUACGGGUUUGCUUUGGUGCACUGCCCUUAAUAGGCAUCCAGGUGUUACUCAGGCAAAAGAUGAGCCAAUCAAAUACAGCACUGCUGCAAUAGCAAGAGAAAGAUUUGAAAUUCUGAUGUGAGAUGUGCAGGACUAUCUGAGAUGCCAGUACUGAAGGGCUUUCUUUCAGAAAUUAGACUUUUUAUGUUUAUAUGCUUAUUUACUUAUUGUACUGCAAAGUUAAUGCCAUUGCAGCAGAAUUUAUGUGAAGCACCAGUGACGUCCAGUGGUCACAGGUGCAGUCUUAGAUGUUUCUCUGGGAAUAUCCCUUGUUUUGUAACAUUAGUCUAACUCAAUUUUGAAAUCCUCUUUCUCUCCCUCAUCUACUCUUUAUUCUAAUGGUUUGGAUGCAAUGAGCAAAUCAUAGUAUGGAAAGAAUUUCCUUAUUGCUAUUGCUCCACAUCAUAUUGAUUCUUCAACAUCUGCCCCCUCCCACACUUCACAUACCUUGAACUCCCAAUGUUUGAUAAACCUUUCCAUGACUGCCUAAUCCUGUUAUGAAAAUAAAUUAUUCUGUGAGUGAGAGAAGGAAGAUUAAAA
Molecule: RNA transcript, 10508 nt
Organism: Motacilla alba alba
Lineage: Eukaryota; Metazoa; Chordata; Aves; Passeriformes; Motacillidae
Gene: ZNF236
Gene name: zinc finger protein 236
Exons: 33
Source: RefSeq, a predicted model, not a curated record